GCCUAGCUGGCUCAGUCAGUAGAGUAUAUGACUCUUGAUCUCAGAGCUGCGGGUUCAAGCCCCAUGUUGGGUA
This 73-nucleotide transfer RNA is filed under the name Felis catus (domestic cat). It matches the Rfam family "tRNA". Rfam says of the family: Transfer RNA (tRNA) molecules are approximately 80 nucleotides in length. Their secondary structure includes four short double-helical elements and three loops (D, anti-codon, and T loops). Further hydrogen bonds mediate the characteristic L-shaped molecular structure. tRNAs have two regions of fundamental functional importance: the anti-codon, which is responsible for specific mRNA codon recognition, and the 3' end, to which the tRNAs corresponding amino acid is attached (by aminoacyl-tRNA synthetases). tRNAs cope with the degeneracy of the genetic code in two manners: having more than one tRNA (with a specific anti-codon) for a particular amino acid; and 'wobble' base-pairing, i.e. permitting non-standard base-pairing at the 3rd anti-codon position. Lineage: Eukaryota; Metazoa; Chordata; Mammalia; Carnivora; Felidae. The record is from Rfam by way of RNAcentral.